This is a long non-coding RNA of Manacus vitellinus (golden-collared manakin), 579 nucleotides long. RefSeq lists it as uncharacterized. The transcript is spliced from 3 exons. The record is from RefSeq and is a predicted model, not a curated record. Lineage: Eukaryota; Metazoa; Chordata; Aves; Passeriformes; Pipridae.
UUGGAGAAGAGAAAGAGAAGAAAUCCCAUUCUCCAGGCAAAAGGCCAAAAGGACAAUUAUUGGGUGAUAUUUCUGUAAGUCACAAGGAAAACAGGACAAAAUGAAGUUGAUGAAAAUUCCUCGUUUCCCCACCAAGUGCCCUUACCUGCAUGCUCGUGAUUCCCACAGCUCUUGCCCAGGAGAUCCUAUGUUCACCCAGCCUCUUGUGUUGAGGGUGUUGUCUUGGUACAUAGAAACAGGUAUUUGACCCACCUCUGCUAAAGCCAAUCUCACUUCCCAGCUUUGUGCUUGCAUCAGUUUUAUGGAGCAUCUGAGGCUGGGUGCCUUGAGUGGCUUCUGCAGAUUGAAUUUACUGAAAGUGCCUCACGUUGUACCCCGGCUCGAGCACCCAGUCUACGGUCCUUGGAGGGGCUGCCUGCUGGAGAAGAGAGGUCUGGAAAUACAAGUGAAUGAAACAAAGAAAGAGCAGUGGGAAAACAGAAGAACAUGAAAGUUGUGACAGAGUCUUCAGCUUUCAGAGGGCUCUUAUUUACUCCUUUAUAUGCUUUACUGGAAAGAUGAGUAGCUUGCGGUUUCCAG